UACGGUGCUGAAGCAACAAAUGCCCUGCUUCCAGGAAAAGCCUCUAAGCAUCAGGUAACAUCAAAUCGUACCCCAAACCGACACAGGUGGUCAGGUAGAGAAUACCAAGGCGCUUGAGAGAACUCGGGUGAAGGAACUAGGCAAAAUGGUGCCGUAACUUCGGGAGAAGGCACGCUGACACGUAGGUGAAGUGAUUUACUCAUGGAGCUGAAGUCAGUCGAAGAUACCAGCUGGCUGCAACUGUUUAUUAAAAACACAGCACUGUGCAAACACGAAAGUGGACGUAUACGGUGUGACGCCUGCCCGGUGCCGGAAGGUUAAUUGAUGGGGUCAGCGCAAGCGAAGCUCCUGAUCGAAGCCCCGGUAAACGGCGGCCGUAACUAUAACGGUCCUAAGGUAGCGAAAUUCCUUGUCGGGUAAGUUCCGACCUGCACGAAUGGCGUAAUGAUGGCCAGGCUGUCUCCACCCGAGACUCAGUGAAAUUGAACUCGCUGUGAAGAUGCAGUGUACCCGCGGCAAGACGGAAAGACCCCGUGAACCUUUACUAUAGCUUGACACUGAACAUUGAGCCUUGAUGUGUAGGAUAGGUGGGAGGCUUUGAAGUGUGGACGCCAGUCUGCAUGGAGCCGACCUUGAAAUACCACCCUUUAAUGUUUGAUGUUCUAACGUGGACCCGUAAUCCGGGUUGCGGACAGUGUCUGGUGGGUAGUUUGACUGGGGCGGUCUCCUCCUAAAGAGUAACGGAGGAGCACGAAGGUUGGCUAAUCCUGGUCGGACAUCAGGAGGUUAGUGCAAUGGCAUAAGCCAGCUUGACUGCGAGCGUGACGGCGCGAGCAGGUGCGAAAGCAGGUCAUAGUGAUCCGGUGGUUCUGAAUGGAAGGGCCAUCGCUCAACGGAUAAAAGGUACUCCGGGGAUAACAGGCUGAUACCGCCCAAGAGUUCAUAUCGACGGCGGUGUUUGGCACCUCGAUGUCGGCUCAUCACAUCCUGGGGCUGAAGUAGGUCCCAAGGGUAUGGCUGUUCGCCAUUUAAAGUGGUACGCGAGCUGGGUUUAGAACGUCGUGAGACAGUUCGGUCCCUAUCUGCCGUGGGCGCUGGAGAACUGAGGGGGGCUGCUCCUAGUACGAGAGGACCGGAGUGGACGCAUCACUGGUGUUCGGGUUGUCAUGCCAAUGGCACUGCCCGGUAGCUAAAUGCGGAAGAGAUAAGUGCUGAAAGCAUCUAAGCACGAAACUUGCCCCGAGAUGAGUUCUCCCUGAGACUUAGAGUCUCCUGAAGGAACGUUGAAGACGACGACGUUGAUAGGCCGGGUGUGUAAGCGCAGCGAUGCGUUGAGCUAACCGGUACUAAUGAACCGU
This 1358-nucleotide ribosomal RNA is filed under the name Salmonella enterica subsp. enterica serovar Senftenberg. RNAcentral's name for it is "partial 23S ribosomal RNA". It matches the Rfam family "Bacterial large subunit ribosomal RNA", at positions 1578 to 2912 of the family's 2925-position model. The record is from RNAcentral. Lineage: Bacteria; Pseudomonadati; Pseudomonadota; Gammaproteobacteria; Enterobacterales; Enterobacteriaceae.